RNAcentral lists this long non-coding RNA (2476 nucleotides) under Ananas comosus (pineapple). Its description in RNAcentral is "long non-coding RNA (ACOM_LNC041847)". The record is from RNAcentral. Lineage: Eukaryota; Viridiplantae; Streptophyta; Magnoliopsida; Poales; Bromeliaceae.
GUGUCAACCAAUCCAUACCCAAUACUACAUCAAACUCACCUAGUUUGUGUAGUGCUAAUAAAUUCACUGGCAUAAUCCAGUCGCCUACCCUAACUGGGCAGCGAGGGCAAAACUCACGAACAUCUAGGGUAUGGUCAGGUACAAUCACUCGUCCUGGAUGCAAGGUAGGUGCUAAAGGAAUGCUAUGCAACUCGGCGAACUGCCGAUCAAUAAAAGAAUGCGAAGCACCAGUAUCAAAUAAUGCACGAACACGAAUAUCAUAAAACAUAAUGAUACCUGCUACGACCUCCUCUGAUGCUGCGGCGCCCUCAGUCUGGGCGGCAUAAAUCCGCCCACUCGAACCCUGCUGCGAACUCUCCGAUUGCCGCUGUCCUCGUGGUCGCCUAGACUGAUAGGGUGCUGUCGGGGUCCCCUGGCUCGGAGCUAAAGAUGCAGGUGCAGACACUGACGAAGGUGCAGGCAAAGAACCUCUCGGGCACUCUGAGCGAAAGUGGCCCUCCUGACCACAGAGAAAACAUCUACCCCCACGUUGUGGACACUGUGGCGGUACGUGAGGCCCACCACAGAUAACACAACGCGGCUGUGGACGAAGCUCGGGUGCUCCACGACGUGCUGACGAACCUGGGCCCCUCGACUAUCCCGACUGGCCUCUCGGAUACUUUGGCGGUCUCCUGAAAGAUUGCUGACCACUACUCUCAGCCGCUGGUCUCUUUCCUUUUCCUCGAUCCACGAUGUUCCUUUCCUUCAUUAUCUCUGCCCCCUUCUCAACGAUCAAGGCCCGAUUCACAACAUCCCUGUAAGUAGAGAGGUUUGACGCUUGGACCAAUCUGAAAAUUGCAGGUCGCAAACCCACCUCAAAUAUGCGAGCCUUGUCCUCAUCAUCUCGAACCACAAAAGGAACACGGUGCAUUAAUCGGGAGAACUCUCGCUCAUACUCUGCUACUGUCCUGUCCCCCUGCUUCGGGUUUCUCAGGUCCCUUUCCAUUUGCCUCUUUACACUCUGGGGAAAGUAGGUCGUCAACAGUAAAUCCUUGAACCUGCUCCACGUGAUAGCAGACAAAUCGGUACGGGGAUCUUCAUGAAUAUCCACCCACUAUCGGUAAGCCUCGCCGUCAAGGUGGUGCGUUGCAAACCAAACUCGAUAUCGCUCCUCAACGAAUGUAUCAUAGAAUAACUUCUCCAUGUGCAUUAACCAUUUCUCGACCACCCAGUGAUCUGCUUUCUCCCCGUAAAAAAUACGAGGGUUGCAACGACGGAAUUCAUUCAAUUGUUCCAUCAUCCGCUCUCGCUCCUCAACCCCCACCAUCUCGGGUAACACUGUCCCUGAUGCUGCUACAGGUACUGGUGGCGGUACUACUGUCUCCUGUCGGGUCUCUGCCCUCGGAGCUACUGGGGGUGUGUCAAGUACAGGUGACUGUGCUCUCACUGUCGCAUCCCUGUCCNNNNNNNNNNNNNNNNNNNNNNNNNUUAACCACUCAAUUUGCUCUUCCACCUUGUUUCAAAUACUUCUAAUCACUUCCAAUUUAUACUAAUAUGCCUCUAUAAGUUACCAAAUUAAUUUGGAAGUAUUUAAUUCUCAAUUUUGCAUCAAUUUGAUCAUUUUGACCAAAUCGACUAAAAUUUCAGCAUUCGAGUAAUGAUAGCAAUUGGAGGUCUUUAACCACUUCGAUUCCAUUUGUGUCUAUCCUCACACUUCCAAAACCUGUCAAAUACAAUUCUCAAGCUACUAAUUAAGUUUAGAAACACUUAAUUUCUAUUUUUGCAUUAUUGUGACCACUUUGAUCACCAUUAGCUUCUAAUCAAAAUUCAGCCUAUUACACGAACAGACGCCGAACGGACAGCACCUCCCCUGUCUACCCAAGGCUCGAUCAACAUGUAUAUUACAAGCAAGUCAACAAGGAGAUUGUAAGAUAUACAAGGUUUGCACGAAGGCAAACAACAACAUAACCACAGUGAAAGCAUCAAAACUAACUAAACAUUCAACAGACAAGUCAUUUGAUUGCCUUUGAAUGAAACACAAGUAAACUAUUACAUUUACAUUCAUUUUAUACAUUCAUUUACAUCACAUUGGCCUUUAACCAAAAUAUAAGGUUUACAUCAUUUUACCUUACUAGUUCAACAUACAAAAGUUGAAUACACCAAAAUAUAGGGUAUGCCUAUAAAUUCCGAGGCCGCUAUCUACGGCGCGAUACCCUUGCCUCGAUCCUCCGCUGUCCCGCUCGCGCACCGAUCUGCAGGAUUAGUGGUAAUGAGAACUAGAAUGAAGUUUCUAGUGGGUUCGGCCGCCGACCGCGCCGAUUCGCCCACUAGGUCUAUUUCAGGCAUAUGUAAUUCAAGAAACGAUAGAUUGCAAACCAACUAAUGCAAAACUAUUACAAUGCCUGCAAGAAAAUAAUCCAGAGAUAGAUAGAUAUACCAGUACAUGAUAAUUAUGCAUGCAUGUCCUUUGUCAUUCAUUUUCUUUUCUUUUGGCCUU